This is a non-coding RNA of Schizosaccharomyces pombe (fission yeast), 1954 nucleotides long. The record is from the annotation of a GenBank genome assembly. Lineage: Eukaryota; Fungi; Ascomycota; Schizosaccharomycetes; Schizosaccharomycetales; Schizosaccharomycetaceae.
ACGGAAUCAUCUAAAAGACAAUGUGUGAGGAUUAAGCAUCAACACGGUUUGUUUAGUAGACUACAAAAUUUUCAAUUCUAAAACUCUUGGAUAAAACUUGGGUAUAUGGUAUAUAAUUAAGGACUUAGUUAUCAAGGAGGAAAGGCUUGAUGACAUACUUGAAAACAGUCCUUGCAUAAAGAUGAUAAGAUUCAAAGAAAGAGAAGAAGAAAAAGAAGCUCUUUAAAAAGUAAAUAAGUUAUGAUAAUAAAUAAUAAAAGAAGAGCUCAACCUCAUAUUCAACAGAAUAUUUGCGUAAGAAAAUUUAUAAGAGCGUUCGUUAGUGACCAUCAUUUGUUAAAGAAGAAGACGGUUCUGAUUGAAGGUCAUCAUCGUCCGUACGAUUGACUGAGUAUCGUUGACGGACGAGUUGAUGAACAAAAAUACUAGCCUUCAGGAACCUUUUUGAGGAGUAUUUUUGGAAAAAGGCUUUGUGUUCUAGAGGCUUGUUAUGAUAAUGAAGCAUAAUAUACGCUAUCUCCUUUAAUUCAUGCUCUUCAUACCCACCAGAGCUUUCAACUAACUUUGGCGUCCAUGGGCCGCGACGCAAUAAUCGGCGGCUCAAAUACAUUGCGGCAGCAGCAAUUUUAGACAUAGGAUAUCGUAAUAAAUCGUGGUCAAACAGAUAAAUUUCUGUUAGGUAUUUCCCCAAUGUCCUUGUUUGUGCAUCAUAACCUUCUGCUUGAGAUAUUUUGCGAAGAAAAUUUAAAGGACUUGGAUAGGACAAGUCAAAAUUGAGAACAUUUAACAUAUAACGUUCAGCGACACAGACAUCUUCUACGGUAAAAGCACCAUCAGUCAUGUAAACAAAGUUUUGUAUCGAAGGACACAUAACCUCCUCAUAUUUGCUAGCGAUGAGAAGAGCAGUAAUGCCUGUUAAUUGAAAUUUAGACAAAGAGCAUGAACGACGCGACAAGAAUCGAUCAAUUAUAUUGACUGCCAAAUAAAGGGUUUCGGGCAUUAAACAAAAGUUGGAAUGUAUUUCCACCAACCAUUCAUUCAAAAUUUCCCUCAUUUUCCAGGUUAAUUCUUUUUGUUGGUCCAUAUAUUUUGGAUUGGGAAGACACUUUAAAUCCAGCUUUCUGAUGUACUCAAAUAUUUCGGGUGCGUAUUCCUCAGCCAUCAAAGGAUUGGAGGAUAAAUGAUCAUCAACAUUAGAGACUCUGUCCUUUUGUAAAGUUUCUACAGAUGGAUCCGCAUUUUUGCUAUAAACUUUCAACUUUUUCACGAAUUUAGAUUCGACAGGUUUAUCAGCUUCUUCAUUUGUAGAUAAAUUAGAUUCAUCGAACGAUCUUUUCGCUUUUUUCGUAUCCUUCUCAUCAGCAUUAUUUUUACCUACAUUGGAAACAUCAGAUAGGACAGUUCGACGUGGCAGAUUAAUUUCAAAAUUUGUAGAUAAUUUUGUCUUCUCAGUCCCUUUUGAUAAAGCUUGUUUGCCAACAAGUGUGUUUUCAUCUUGAUAACUAUGCUUAUUGAUUUUAGAACCAACAGGCUUUGAAAUUGAAUAGAGAGCCAUAUGAAAUAUGGAUUGAUAAAUUACCCUUUUAUCAACGUAUAGAAAUAUAUCUGAUUGUUUGUAACCAAAAAUGUCUUCUUUUUAUUAAAAUAAGGAAACUGUUUUUGGUAAAUUAAUCUCAAUUGACAAGAUGGAUAAAUUAGGGAAAUUGAGCGAUCGAGAAACAGAAAGCACUUAUAGCGAAUUUUUAAAGUUUCUCUUUUAAAUGAGAAUAAAUCAAUGGGUCCGAAUUAUUCUAUUGUUGUUGAUAGGAAGAAAGGGAAAGAAAUCGUCCAAACAUAAACAAAUGAAUUGUGUAAACAAACCAAACCAACCUACUGUUGUGGAUAUAAACGAAAAAAAAAAACAAGCAGAUGUAAUCAAAAUUGAGAAAGAAAAAAAAGUAAAGAUAAAUUUUUU